CCUACGGGUGGCAGCAGUAGGGAAUAUUGCUCAAUGGGGGAAACCCUGAAGCAGCAACGCCGCGUGAAGGAUGAAGGUUUUCGGAUUGUAAACCCCUUUUGUUAGGGAAGAUAAUGACGGUAUCUAACGAAUAAGCACCGGCUAACUCCGUGCCAGCAGCCGCGGUAAUACGGAGGGUGCAAGCGUUACUCGGAGUCACUGGGCGUAAAGGGCGCGUAGGCGGGCUAGCAAGUCAGAUGUGAAAUCCUAUGGCUCAACCAUAGAACUGCAUUUGAAACUGUUAUUCUAGAGUGUGGGAGAGGUAGGUGGAAUUCUUGGUGUAGCGGUGAAAUGCGUAGAGAUCAAGAGGAACACUCAUUGCGAAGGCGGCCUGCUAGAACAUAACUGACGCUGAUGCGCGAAAGCGUGGGGAGCAAACAGGAUUAGAUACCCGUGUAGUC
Molecule: ribosomal RNA, 440 nt
Filed under: uncultured bacterium
Lineage: Bacteria
Description: partial 16S ribosomal RNA
Rfam family: Bacterial small subunit ribosomal RNA
Source: RNAcentral